AAGGACAUCUGUUCACAUCUUACCGGGCAGCAUUAGAUCCUUUUUAUAACUCUAAUACUGUCAGGUAAAGAUGUCGUCCGUGUCCUU
Molecule: non-coding RNA, 87 nt
Organism: Drosophila melanogaster (fruit fly)
Lineage: Eukaryota; Metazoa; Arthropoda; Insecta; Diptera; Drosophilidae
Gene: mir-8
Product: mir-8 precursor RNA
Exons: 1
Source: RefSeq